CCUACACGACCGUACCGCAAACCGACACUGGUGCGCGAGAUGAGUAUUCUAAGGCGCUUGAGAGAACUCAGGAGAAGGAACUCGGCAAAUUGACACCGUAACUUCGGAAGAAGGUGUGCCUUUAGUAGGUGAACCUGUACAAGGGGAGCCCAAUGAGGUUGCAAAAAAUCGGUGGCUGCGACUGUUUAAUAAAAACACAGCACUCUGCAAACACGAAAGUGGACGUAUAGGGUGUGACGCCUGCCCGGUGCUGGAAGAUUAAAUGAUGGGGUGCAAGCUCUUGAUUGAAGUCCCAGUAAACGGCGGCCGUAACAAUAACGGUCCUAAGGUAGCGAAAUUCCUUGUCGGGUAAGUUCCGACCUGCACGAAUGGCGUAACGAUGGCCACACUGUCUCCUCCUGAGACUCAGCGAAGUUGAAAUGUUUGUGAUGAUGCAAUCUCCCCGCGGAAAGACGGAAAGACCCCAUGAACCUUUACUGUAGCUUUGUAUUGGACUUUGAACAGAUCUGUGUAGGAUAGGUGGGAGGCUUUGAAGUGUGGUCGCUAGAUCGCAUGGAGCCAACGUUGAAAUACCACCCUGGUGUGUUUGAGGUUCUAACCUAGGCCCGUAAUCCGGGUCGGGGACAGUGCAUGGUAGGCAGUUUGACUGGGGCGGUCUCCUCCCAAAGCGUAACGGAGGAGUUCGAAGGUACGCUAGGUACGGUCGGACAUCGUGCUAAUAGUGCAAUGGCAUAAGCGUGCUUAACUGCGAGACUGACAAGUCGAGCAGAUGCGAAAGCAGGACAUAGUGAUCCGGUGGUUCUGUAUGGAAGGGCCAUCGCUCAACGGAUAAAAGGUACUCUGGGGAUAACAGGCUGAUACCGCCCAAGAGUUCAUAUCGACGGCGGUGUUUGGCACCUCGAUGUCGGCUCAUCUCAUCCUGGGGCUGUAGCCGGUCCCAAGGGUAUGGCUGUUCGCCAUUUAAAGAGGUACGUGAGCUGGGUUUAAAACGUCGUGAGACAGUUUGGUCCCUAUCUUCCGUGGGCGCUGCAGAUUUGAGGAAGCCUGCUCCUAGUACGAGAGGACCGGAGUGGACACACCUCUGGUGUAUCGGUUGUCACGCCAGUGGCAUUGCCGAGUAGCUAUGUGUGGAAGAGAUAACCGCUGAAAGCAUCUAAGCGGGAAACUCGUUUCAAGAUGAGAUCUGCCGGGGCCUUGAGCCCCCUAAAGAGUCGUUCAAGACCAGGACGUUGAUAGGUCGGGUGUGGAAGCGCAGUAAUGCGUUAAGCUAACCGAUACUAAUUGCUCGUGCGGCUUGACCAA
RNAcentral lists this ribosomal RNA (1302 nucleotides) under metagenome. Its description in RNAcentral is "bacterial LSU rRNA". It matches the Rfam family "Bacterial large subunit ribosomal RNA", at positions 1633 to 2925 of the family's 2925-position model. The record is from RNAcentral.